Molecule: long non-coding RNA, 2618 nt
Organism: Tupaia belangeri chinensis (Chinese tree shrew)
Lineage: Eukaryota; Metazoa; Chordata; Mammalia; Scandentia; Tupaiidae
Exons: 4
Source: RefSeq, a predicted model, not a curated record
UGGGCCCGCGGGCCCGGCAGCUCUGGGCGGCCGGGACGCGGAGGAGCAGCGAGGAGCCGGGAGCAGAGAUGGGCCCCGACACCCCUGGGCACCCGUUGAGUGGAUUUCCGCGCGGGACGGAUGUUGGCGUACCCGGUGACCUGCGGAGACCCGGCUGGAUCCAGCCUCCAGCCUGAUCUGCUGACCAGAAAGAGAUAAAAAAAAAAGGUGCCCCAUCGUGAUGGCUGUGCCCGUCAGUUGUGUGGAGCUUCUGUCAAGGAUUUUCAGAGCCUGAUGGAUUUACAGUGACACUCAACCACCUGGGAAUGAUGUGGUAGAAGCAUGUACUGGAAUUACACACACUCGGCAUACUUGGGGAUGCUACAGUGGUUUUAAAGGAAGCCCCAGCCGGGUACCUUGUGGAUUCUUACAGCCCAGAUGUCCAUGGGGGACGAGAACCCCUGUGCUUGCAAGAGUGAAGAUGUCCUUGGAUGGGAACAUGUGGUAGGGUCUCUGCUGGCUCCCUUUGGGACUCCUUAUGAUAUGUAAGUCUCCUUGUGAAGCAUCUCACCCAUGCUCUGCUCAGUGCUCACCUGGGCAUCAGGUGCGACUGUCCUGUGGCUAAUUGUUAAAAGCAGCUAGCAUUUUAUAACCUUGCUCAGUGUGUUCUGGCAAAGUGCCUUGGGGGAGACAGAUGGAAAUUAAGAGGUCCUCCCUGGGAGCCGCCGCAGUUUCCUGUGCUGACGCGUGUCAUCCUACCUGUUACCCUUGCCUGGUCUUCCUGGUUUUGCAUCUGUCUCCAUCUAUUUGCUUGAUCCUGUUAUACCUAGGAUUUAAGUGUUUUUAAUAUGGAAAAAAAACGCAUACCCACACAGUACUCCAGAUGGACUUGAGAAUUGUCCUUCUCUGAACUAAAGCUGGAAUGGUUGGGAAUUUGGAGAAUUAAGUGGCAAAGUCAAGUUGCUGGACGUCGCCUGCAGCCAAAGGAGGUACUGCCGCAGUGACCUGUGCUUAACUGAAGUUGGAGAGAACGAUGCAAAGAACUUGGCAGUUCUUCGUCAGUCUUCAAACUUAGGAAGACCUGCCUCUUGGGGAGGUGGGGCAUGAGCCCUACACACAGCUAGUUGAGGAGAAAGAGAUCCUGGGACCCACCAUGUUUUCCUGACUAUUGCCACCUUGUUCCUGUCACCUGUUGACUGAAGCUCUGUUAAUCCUUUUUUGAACAGGCCAGUUCUCCUUGUCCUCAAGACUCAGUUCUCCUUCGCUGCGGGGUGGUCAGUAGACUCUUGCUCUGUGCUUUGGGCACUUUCUGUUUAACUGGACAAACUCUGCAGAUCUUGUGUGAUUCAUGGGUGUGCCUGGGAAUGUAGGGUCUGGGUUUGCCAGGGACAUGUGUCACAGAGUGGGGGAAAUGCCCUGUGAGGGCUAAUUCAUUGUGUCAACUUGACUAGUUUAUGGUACCAAUGGUACGGUACCUAGGUUUGGGUCAAACAUCAGCCUAGAUGUCAUGUCUCUGAAGGCCUUGUUUUUAGGUGAGAUAAGCAUUUAUAUUAGUAGACUUUGAAUAAAGUCCAUCCUCCUCCACAGUGUAGUUGGGCUUCAUCCAAUCAGUGGAAGGCCUUAAGAGAAAACAGGCUGAGAUUCCUUGAGGAAGUUUGAAUUCUGCCUCCGGACUGUUUUUGGACUACAGCAAAAACAUCAGUGCUUCUAGAGGUCUCCAGCCUGCCAGCUGGCCUUGCAGAGUUCAGACCUGCCAAACCCCAUAAGCAUGUGAGAGCCAGUUCUUUCAAAUCCUCCAUACCCAAUUUUCCCUUUCUGCUUCUCCCACCUCCUCUCCCCCUCUAUUAUCUCUCUCUAUCCAUACAAAUACACACACACACACACACACACACACAUAUACACACACACACCAUUGGUUCUCUUGUCUAAGGUAAUUUAUAUGUCAUUAAAUGAAAUAAUAUUAAUACCUACUAUAUGGUAACAAUAAAGACUAAACAGGACAAUGAAUGGAAUGCUGUUAGUAUAAUGUAAUGAUGCCUGGUACAGUGUUCAACAAAUAGUAACGGUUAUUAUGAAAUUUGUACUUGUCUGCAAGCCAUGGAGGGACAGGAAUUAACUUUCUUUUUGCUGCACAGUAAACCACUCCCAAAAUGUAGUGGCUUAAAAUAACAAUUUAUUUUUCUCCUAGUUCUGCAGGUUGGUUGAGCUCUGCUGGAUGGUUCUUCUGCACCAUAUGAAGUCAUUUGGAGUCAGUGUGUGGUCACACUCAGUGGGGAGUCUGGUGCUUCAGCUGGGGUGACUGGAGUGGCUGGCAGCCUCUCUCUCUUCCUCAGUAGGAGUAGUCUAGCCCAACUUUCUUUACAGUAUUGUAUUUGAUUCCAAGUGAGUAAGUGAAAGCCGCAAGGCUUCCUAAGGCUAGCAGCAGAACUAACACUGCCUUUCCACCAUCUUCUACUGGUCAAAGUGGUCACAGACCAGCCCACAUUCAAGGCAAUGUGGACUCCAGUGCUUAAUGGGAAAAACACCAAGCAUGUGUAGAAAUGUAAACGUUUCUGAGCAUAGUCUACUCCAGGGAACAAGUUGUUGUUCAAGUUCAUGCCUUUCAGUAUCUACUCUGCUUAACCUCUCCAGUUAGUUUG